Molecule: long non-coding RNA, 127 nt
Organism: Thalassophryne amazonica
Lineage: Eukaryota; Metazoa; Chordata; Actinopteri; Batrachoidiformes; Batrachoididae
Exons: 3
Source: RefSeq, a predicted model, not a curated record
AUUGAAUACCUCAAGGGACCCAGUCAUACGCCCUUACCAUGUCCACAAAACACAUGUAGAUUGGUUGGUCACACUCUCAAGACCCCUCCAAUAUCCUUGCAAGGGUAAAGAGCUAGUCCACCAUUCC